Molecule: non-coding RNA, 166 nt
Organism: Phascolarctos cinereus (koala)
Lineage: Eukaryota; Metazoa; Chordata; Mammalia; Diprotodontia; Phascolarctidae
Source: RefSeq, a predicted model, not a curated record
CACGACCUUUGCUUUAUAUUCUGUUAUUCACAGGACCUGAUCUAGAUGUCUACUCAAAUGACUUGGGAAAAGGGGACACGGUGGUCCAUACCAGAGAUGUCAAACAUGUGGCCCAUGGACCACAUGUAGCCCAACACUCUGUACUGUGGCCCAAAUCAGAUUAAAA